RNAcentral lists this non-coding RNA (237 nucleotides) under Clostridium cadaveris. Its description in RNAcentral is "T-box sequence". It matches the Rfam family "T-box leader". From Rfam's summary of the family: Uncharged tRNA acts as the effector for transcription antitermination of genes in the T-box leader family. The record is from RNAcentral. Lineage: Bacteria; Bacillati; Bacillota; Clostridia; Eubacteriales; Clostridiaceae.
UGAAAAACUGUGAUUAGGAAAAGUACUUAAGUCUUGACCUCUCAGAGAGUGGCGGUUGGUGGAAAGCCACAGGAAUAUAGAUUAGGGAAUAUCACCUAGGAGUUGAAAGCUGAACUUAUAGUAAGCUGUUCCGUAGUUCUGCGUUAGAGAAUAGAGCAUGAUGGUGCUUGAAAUUAGACUUUAGUAUACUUAAAGUCAGCCAAUGGUGGUAUAGCGAGUUUUAACUUCGUCCUUUGG